UAUCUCCAAAGCGGAGGAAAAGAAACCAACCGGGAUUGCCUUAGUAACGGCGAGUGAAGCGGCAAAAGCUCAAAUUUGAAAUCUGGUACCUUCGGUGCCCGAGUUGUAAUUUGGAGAGGGCAACUUUGGGGCCGUUCCUUGUCUAUGUUCCUUGGAACAGGACGUCAUAGAGGGUGAGAAUCCCGUGUGGCGAGGAGUGCGGUUCUUUGUAAAGUGCCUUCGAAGAGUCGAGUUGUUUGGGAAUGCAGCUCUAAGUGGGUGGUAAAUUCCAUCUAAAGCUAAAUAUUGGCGAGAGACCGAUAGCGAACAAGUACAGUGAUGGAAAGAUGAAAAGAACUUUGAAAAGAGAGUGAAAAAGUACGUGAAAUUGUUGAAAGGGAAGGGCAUUUGAUCAGACAUGGUGUUUUGUGCCCUCUGCUCCUUGUGGGUAGGGGAAUCUCGCAUUUCACUGGGCCAGCAUCAGUUUUGGUGGCAGGAUAAAUCCAUAGGAAUGUAGCUUGCCUCGGUAAGUAUUAUAGCCUGUGGGAAUACUGCCAGCUGGGACUGAGGACUGCGACGUAAGUCAAGGAUGCUGGCAUAAUGGUUAUAUGCCGCCCGUCUUGAAC
RNAcentral lists this ribosomal RNA (605 nucleotides) under Saccharomyces cerevisiae (brewer's yeast). RNAcentral's name for it is "eukaryotic LSU rRNA". It matches the Rfam family "Eukaryotic large subunit ribosomal RNA", at positions 41 to 659 of the family's 3401-position model. Lineage: Eukaryota; Fungi; Ascomycota; Saccharomycetes; Saccharomycetales; Saccharomycetaceae. The record is from RNAcentral.